RNAcentral lists this ribosomal RNA (376 nucleotides) under uncultured organism. RNAcentral describes it as "partial 16S ribosomal RNA". It matches the Rfam family "Bacterial small subunit ribosomal RNA", at positions 527 to 897 of the family's 1533-position model. The record is from RNAcentral.
GUAGGUGGCAAGCGUUGUCCGGGAAUUAUUGGGGCGUAAAGCGCGCGCAGGCGGUUCUUUAAGUCUGAUGUGAAAGCCCACGGGCUCAACCGUGGAGGGUCAUUGGAAACUGGAGAACUUGAGUACAGAAGAGGAAAGCGGAAUUCCACGUGUAGCGGUGAAAUGCGUAGAGAUGUGGAGGAACACCAGUGGCGAAGGCGGCUUUCUGGUCUGUAACUGACGCUGAGGCGCGAAAGCGAGGGGAGCAAACAGGAUUAGAUACCCUGGUAGUCCACGCCGUAAACGAUGAGUGCUAAGUGUUAGGGGGUUUCCGCCCCUUAGUGCUGCAGCUAACGCAUUAAGCACUCCGCCUGGGGAGUACGGCCGCAAAGGCUGA